CCCCAGACUCCUACGGGAGGCAGCAGUGGGGAAUAUUGCACAAUGGGGGAAACCCUGAUGCAGCGACGCCGCGUGAGCGAAGAAGUACCUCGGUAUGUAAAGCUCUAUCAGCAGGGAAGAAGAUGACGGUACCUGACCAAGAAGCUCCGGCUAAAUACGUGCCAGCAGCCGCGGUAAUACGUAUGGAGCAAGCGUUAUCCGGAUUUACUGGGUGUAAAGGGGGCGCAGACGGCAGCGCAAGCCAGGAGUGAAAGCCCGGGGCCCAACCCCGGGACUGCUCUUGGAACUGCGCGGCUGGAGUGCAGGAGAGGCAGGCGGAAUUCCUAGUGUAGCGGUGAAAUGCGUAGAUAUUAGGAGGAACACCAGUGGCGAAGGCGGCCUGCUGGACGACAACUGACGGUGAGGCGCGAAAGCGUGGGGAGCAAACAGGAUUAGAUACCCCAGUAA
This 447-nucleotide ribosomal RNA is filed under the name uncultured bacterium. RNAcentral describes it as "partial 16S ribosomal RNA". It matches the Rfam family "Bacterial small subunit ribosomal RNA", at positions 329 to 793 of the family's 1533-position model. The record is from RNAcentral.